ACGGCAGUAGCUCAGCUGGAUAGAGCAUCGGCCUUCUAAGCCGAGGGUCGGGGGUUCGAGCCCCUCCUGCCGUA
Molecule: non-coding RNA, 74 nt
Organism: Paraburkholderia susongensis
Lineage: Bacteria; Pseudomonadati; Pseudomonadota; Betaproteobacteria; Burkholderiales; Burkholderiaceae
Source: Rfam